AUUGAACGCUGUCGGCAUGCCUAACACAUGAAAGUCGAGCGUGCGGCGGACGGGUGAGUAAUUUCUGGGUACCUGCCAGAUGGAGGGGGCUAAACACUGGAAACGGUCGCAAAUACCGCAUCCCCUCAGACAUGCCCCGAUUGGAUUUGCUCGUAGGUGGGGUAACGGCUCACCUAGGCGACGAACCAUAGGUGGUCUGAGAGGAUGCCCAGCCACACUGGAACUGAGACACUGUCCAGACUCUUACGGGAGUCAGCAGUGGGGAAUAUUGCGCUAUGGGCGCAAGCCUGAUGCAGCCAUCCCGGGUGUGUGAAGAACGCCUUCGGGUUGUAAAGCACUUUCAGCUGGGAGGCGUUACCCGCAGAAGAAGCACCGGCUAACUCCGUGCCAGCAGCCGCGGUAAUAC
This 406-nucleotide ribosomal RNA is filed under the name uncultured bacterium. Its description in RNAcentral is "partial 16S ribosomal RNA". It matches the Rfam family "Bacterial small subunit ribosomal RNA", at positions 30 to 526 of the family's 1533-position model. The record is from RNAcentral.